This 85-nucleotide small RNA is filed under the name Escherichia coli. RNAcentral's name for it is "partial RtT sRNA". It matches the Rfam family "RtT RNA", at positions 48 to 130 of the family's 130-position model. Rfam says of the family: This family represents a bacterial cis-regulatory element known as RtT RNA. The exact function of RtT is unknown although it is thought that it may be involved in changing the cellular response in relation to amino acid starvation. Lineage: Bacteria; Pseudomonadati; Pseudomonadota; Gammaproteobacteria; Enterobacterales; Enterobacteriaceae. The record is from RNAcentral.
UCGAGCGUCAGCGAGAGAGCGUUGCCGCAGGCAACGACCCGUAGGGCGAAGCGCGCAGCGCUGAGUAAUCCUUCCCCCACCACCA